UCCGUAGGGACCAAGCGUUGUUCGGAUUUACUGGGCGUAACGGGCGCGUAGGCGGCUUAACAAGUCACUUGUGAAAUCUCCGGGCUUAACUCGGAACGGCCAAGUGAAACUGUCAAGCUAGAGUGCAGAAGGGGCAAUCGGAAUUCUUGGUGUAGCGGUGAAAUGCGUAGAUAUCAGGAGGAACACCUGUGGUGUAGACAGCUUACUG
Molecule: ribosomal RNA, 208 nt
Filed under: uncultured prokaryote
Description: partial 16S ribosomal RNA
Rfam family: Bacterial small subunit ribosomal RNA
Source: RNAcentral